RNAcentral lists this ribosomal RNA (253 nucleotides) under uncultured bacterium. RNAcentral's name for it is "partial 16S ribosomal RNA". It matches the Rfam family "Bacterial small subunit ribosomal RNA", at positions 524 to 776 of the family's 1533-position model. The record is from RNAcentral.
UACGGGGGGGGCAAGCGUUGUUCGGAAUUACUGGGCGUAAAGGGCUCGUAGGUGGCCAACUAAGUCAGACGUGAAAUCUCUGAGCUUAACUCAGAAACUGCCAUGGAUACUAUUUGUCUUGAAUGUUGUGGAGGUAAGCGGAAUAUGUCAUGUAGCGGUGAAAUGCUUAGAUAUGACAUAGAACACCAAUUGCGAAGGCAGCUUACUACACAAAUAUUGACGCUGAGGCACGAAAGCGUGGGGAUCAAACAGG